CCCUUAGAUGUUCUGGGCCGCACGCGCGCUACACUGACUACUUCAACGAGUUGUUUCCUUGAUCGAAAGGUCUGGGUAAUCUUUGAAAGGUAGUCGUGAUGGGGAUAGAUCCUUGCAAUUUUUGGUCUUCAACGAGGAAUUCCUAGUAAACGCAAGUCAUCAGCUUGCAUUGAUUACGUCCCUGCCCUUUGUACACACCGCCCGUCGCACCUACCGAUUGAAUGGUCCGGUGAAUCUUUAGGACUGUGGCUGAGGCCUUGCCUUGUGCGGGUCUGGCCGUGGGAAUUUAGUUAAACCUUACCAUUUAGAGGAAGGUGAAGUCGUAACA
This 328-nucleotide ribosomal RNA is filed under the name uncultured eukaryote. RNAcentral describes it as "partial 18S ribosomal RNA". It matches the Rfam family "Eukaryotic small subunit ribosomal RNA", at positions 1470 to 1796 of the family's 1831-position model. The record is from RNAcentral.